GAGAGAUGGCCGAGCGGUUUAAGGCGCCAGUCUUGAAAACUGGUGAUGUUGAAAGGCACCGGGGGUUCGAAUCCCUCUCUCUCC
Molecule: transfer RNA, 84 nt
Filed under: bovine gut metagenome
Rfam family: tRNA
About the family: Transfer RNA (tRNA) molecules are approximately 80 nucleotides in length. Their secondary structure includes four short double-helical elements and three loops (D, anti-codon, and T loops). Further hydrogen bonds mediate the characteristic L-shaped molecular structure. tRNAs have two regions of fundamental functional importance: the anti-codon, which is responsible for specific mRNA codon recognition, and the 3' end, to which the tRNAs corresponding amino acid is attached (by aminoacyl-tRNA synthetases). tRNAs cope with the degeneracy of the genetic code in two manners: having more than one tRNA (with a specific anti-codon) for a particular amino acid; and 'wobble' base-pairing, i.e. permitting non-standard base-pairing at the 3rd anti-codon position.
Source: RNAcentral